CAAGGAAGUUUAAGCUUGUCGCCAUAGUGACAGCGACAAAAAAAAAAAAAAAAAAAAACUCUUACUGCUGGCCUUUACAUCUCACUGCUUGUACUGGAGGGUGAGUUUCCUUCAUUUUGGACAAUUUGGGUACCUCAUCCCGAGUGAAAGAUGUCUGGUUCCGGUACUGUGAAGAAAUCUACCUCUGAAAAAAAUGCCAAAAAAGUUUCACUAGCACCCAGCUUCAGAUCUGUGAAUCCACUGAGUCUGAUUGAAGGUGACUACAUUGAGACUCUGCAGAAGCAAGUUAACCUUCUUGAACUUGAGACCUC
Long non-coding RNA from Protopterus annectens (West African lungfish), 311 nucleotides. RefSeq lists it as uncharacterized. NCBI's taxonomy places the organism in Eukaryota, Metazoa, Chordata, Ceratodontiformes, Protopteridae. The transcript has 3 exons. The record is from RefSeq and is a predicted model, not a curated record.